GGUGCAAACUUGAAAUAGAGUCGUUUAGUAGGGUCAGAUGAUCCUUCUAAUCUACUCUACUUCAAGUUUGGGCCC
Non-coding RNA from Haemonchus contortus (barber pole worm), 75 nucleotides. The record is from Rfam. NCBI's taxonomy places the organism in Eukaryota, Metazoa, Nematoda, Chromadorea, Rhabditida, Trichostrongylidae.